This 1091-nucleotide long non-coding RNA is filed under the name Brassica napus (rape). RNAcentral describes it as "long non-coding RNA (BNAP_LNC021574)". Lineage: Eukaryota; Viridiplantae; Streptophyta; Magnoliopsida; Brassicales; Brassicaceae. The record is from RNAcentral.
GACUUUUAAGAACCUAUGUUACAAGACACCAAAAAAUAUACGGAAGGUUCUCUCUCUCCUCUUUAGAGAGAGAGAGCUCUCUUUCUUUUUUUCCUUGUUCACACACCCUUAUCUUUCACAGGGAGAAAGAGAUUUGUCUUAUGUUUUGAUGUGAAAUACUUUUCGAUCGAAAGAUCGAUUUCUUUUGUUUGCUUUGGCGAUUGUGUUUUCCGGUUAGCGGAUUUCUCUUCGUUCGGCGAAGUUUUGAUGUGAUCUUUCAAAAACAAAUCGAAUCGUGUUCUUAAAGUUUAAUCCUUUUUCGAUUUGCUUUUGAAAUUAAUAAAAGUUUUCUACAUCUUUCACCGUUCUUCAUUUUUAUUCCGUUGAUCCUUUAAUCGGAUACUAUGUUUCCAGAAUCAACUUUACUUCUCUUUAAAAAGAUUCAGUCUUUACCAAUUUUAGAAUAGCCAGUUUGGCAUAAGGGAAAGCAUCUUUGCUAAGAGAAGAAGAGUUUUGUUGGGAUUUAUUAGAUCUUUUUGGAAUGGAUUCAGCAGAAUCGGCGUUCUUACGGUCCGGCAAAGAUUCCUUUUUCAUCUGAUCUAAGCUUUCCUCUGGUUUAUCAUCAGCGAAGCAUGGUCCCUCUGAUUAUUUGAUCACGGUUGAGUGAAAGAUGACUGGAGUACAAGAACCAGGCGAAUCGAGUUGAUGCGGUGGCUGUGGUGAAAAAGCGUUGCCGGAAUCUUCUCUGCAGCGGCGAAGAAGUCAAGCGACGGUGAGAAGGACGGUGAAGAUGACCUACGUGUCUCUCAAUACACCAAGAAUUGCCACAUCGCAAUUACUCUUCAGUUUCCACACACGUGUUUUAUGAAAUUAUUGUACUAUAUUUUGUUUGUUAGUGUGUUGGGCUUAAAGCCUAUUCUGUUUUCCAUUCUAGUCCAAAAGCUUUAAUGAAAAGCAAAGCAGUUGACCAAAAAAAGACUUUUAAGAACCUUGUAAUUUAGAGGAAUUCAUAAAGAUUAAUAUUUUUUCAAUUUUUUUCUUUGUUAUUCUUUCCUUCUCUAUAGUAAUUUUUGUUAUUUGGUUAGUUUCAAAUUUAGGACUAGAUAAAAUUU